Molecule: unclassified non-coding RNA, 253 nt
Filed under: plant metagenome
Description: partial contains small subunit ribosomal RNA, internal transcribed spacer 1, and 5.8S ribosomal RNA
Rfam family: Eukaryotic small subunit ribosomal RNA (bases 1-54)
Source: RNAcentral
GGAAGUAAAAGUCGUAACAAGAGCUCCGUUGGUGAACCAGCGGAGGGAUCAUUACAGAGUUGCAAAACUCCCAAACCAUUGUGAACGUUACCUAUCCCGUUGCUUCGGCGGGCGGCCCGGGCCCCGCGCCCGGCGCCCCCCGGCCCCCCGUGGGCGCCCGCCGGAGGUAAACCAAACCCUUGAAUUGCAUGGCCUCUCUGAGUCUUCUGUACUGAAUAAGUCAAAACUUUCAACAACGGAUCUCUUGGUUCUG